RNAcentral lists this ribosomal RNA (491 nucleotides) under uncultured bacterium. RNAcentral's name for it is "partial 16S ribosomal RNA". It matches the Rfam family "Bacterial small subunit ribosomal RNA", at positions 29 to 506 of the family's 1533-position model. The record is from RNAcentral.
AGUGAACGCUGGCGGUAGGCCUAACACAUGCAAGUCGAACGGCAGCACAGUAAGAGCUUGCUCUUACGGGUGGCGAGUGGCGGACGGGUGAGGAAUACAUCGGAAUCUACUUUUUCGUGGGGGAUAACGUAGGGAAACUUACGCUAAUACCGCAUACGACCUACGGGUGAAAGCAGGGGAUCUUCGGACCUUGCGCGAUUGAAUGAGCCGAUGUCGGAUUAGCUAGUUGGCGGGGUAAAGGCCCACCAAGGCGACGAUCCGUAGCUGGUCUGAGAGGAUGAUCAGCCACACUGGAACUGAGACACGGUCCAGACUCCUACGGGAGGCAGCAGUGGGGAAUAUGGGGCAAUGGGCGCAAGCCUGAUCCAGCCAUACCGCGUGGGUGAAGAAGGCCUUCGGGUUGUAAAGCCCUUUUGUUGGGAAAGAAAAGCAGCAGGUUAAGACCCCGCUGUUCGGACGGGACCCAAAGAAUAAGCACCGGCUAACUUCGU